Acanthosepion pharaonis is the source of this 98-nucleotide non-coding RNA. NCBI's taxonomy places the organism in Eukaryota, Metazoa, Mollusca, Cephalopoda, Sepiida, Sepiidae. The record is from the annotation of a GenBank genome assembly.
UUGAAACACUGGUCCAUGUACAAUCACCGAAGUUAAGCAAUGUCGAGUCUGGUCAAUACCUAGAUGGGUGACCACUUGGGAAUACCAAGAGCUGUAAG